AGCAGCAUGGUCUAGUGGUUUGAAUGUUGGACUGUAGCUCUGCAAACCAGGUUUCAAAUCCCUGCUUAGCCA
Molecule: non-coding RNA, 72 nt
Organism: Phrynosoma platyrhinos (Desert horned lizard)
Lineage: Eukaryota; Metazoa; Chordata; Lepidosauria; Squamata; Phrynosomatidae
Source: the annotation of a GenBank genome assembly